RNAcentral lists this ribosomal RNA (501 nucleotides) under Pichia kluyveri. Its description in RNAcentral is "eukaryotic LSU rRNA". It matches the Rfam family "Eukaryotic large subunit ribosomal RNA", at positions 138 to 653 of the family's 3401-position model. Lineage: Eukaryota; Fungi; Ascomycota; Pichiomycetes; Pichiales; Pichiaceae. The record is from RNAcentral.
GCGABUUGUAAAUUGCAGGUUGGAGUCUCGGGUUAGACGUGUGUGCAAGUCCCUUGGAACAGGGUGCCACUGAGGGUGAGAGCCCCGUAUCGUGCAUGUCGACACCUGUGAGGCCCUUCUGACGAGUCGAGUUGUUUGGGAAUGCAGCUCUAAGUGGGUGGUAAAUUCCAUCUAAGGCUAAAUAUUGGCGAGAGACCGAUAGCGAACAAGUACUGUGAAGGAAAGAUGAAAAGCACUUUGAAAAGAGAGUGAAACAGCACGUGAAAUUGUUGAAAGGGAAGGGUAUUGGGCUCGACAUGGGAUUUACGCAUCGUUGCCUCUCGUGGGCGGCGCUCUGGGUUUUUCCUGGGCCAGCAUCGGUUUUCGUUGCAGGAUAAGGACAAUUGGAAUGUGGCUCCUCGGAGUGUUAUAGCCUUUUGUAGAUGCUGCGUAUGGGGACCGAGGGCUGCGGCGGACUYGUUUCGUCUCGGAUGCUGGCACAACGGCGCAAUACCGCCCGUC